CUUGGUCAUUUAGAGGAAGUAAAAGUCGUAACAAGGUCUCCGUAGGUGAACCUGCGGAGGGAUCAUUACAAGCGACCCCGGUCUUACCACCGGGAUGUUCAUAACCCUUUGUUGUCCGACUCUGUUGCCUCCGGGGCGACCCUGCCUUCGGGCGGGGGCUCCGGGUGGACACUUCAAACUCUUGCGUAACUUUGCAGUCUGAGUAAACUUAAUUAAUAAAUUAAAACUUUUAACAACGGAUCUCUUGGUUCUGGCAUCGAUGAAGAACGCAGCGAAAUGCGAUAAGUAAUGUGAAUUGCAGAAUUCAGUGAAUCAUCGAAUCUUUGAACGCACAUUGCGCCCCCUGGUAUUCCGGGGGGCAUGCCUGUUCGAGCGUCAUUUCACCACUCAAGCCUCGCUUGGUAUUGGGCAACGCGGUCCGCCGCGUGCCUCAAAUCGACCGGCUGGGUCUUCUGUCCCCUAAGCGUUGUGGAAACUAUUCGCUAAAGGGUGUUCGGGAGGCUACGCCGUAAAACAACCCCAUUUCUAAGGUUGACCUCGGAUCAGGUAGGGAUACCCGCUGAACUUAAGCAUAUCAAUAAGCGGAGGA
RNAcentral lists this ribosomal RNA (589 nucleotides) under uncultured Ascomycota. RNAcentral describes it as "eukaryotic LSU rRNA". The stretch from base 225 to 378 matches the Rfam family "5.8S ribosomal RNA". The record is from RNAcentral. Lineage: Eukaryota; Fungi; Ascomycota.